Molecule: ribosomal RNA, 1245 nt
Filed under: Cosmoscarta exultans
Lineage: Eukaryota; Metazoa; Arthropoda; Insecta; Hemiptera; Cercopidae
Description: 16S ribosomal RNA
Rfam family: Eukaryotic large subunit ribosomal RNA (bases 998-1156)
Source: RNAcentral
UUAUUUAUUUUUUUUUAAUUUUUUUUUUAACUAAAUUAUUUUUAUUGUUUUAGUAUUUGUUUGGAAUUAAUUUUUUUUUUGAUAGUUUAUUAGUACUGUUAAGGAAUUUUUAUUUUUAAUAUUAAAAGCAGUUUUUAAUGUACCUUUUGUAUCAGGGUUAAUUUAUUUAUUUUAAUUUAUAAUAUUUUCCCGAAGGGAAAUGAUUUAUUUUUAAGUGUUGUUUAAUGUUUUAUAAUUAUCAAUUAUUUAUUAGUAGUAGUGAAAUGUUACUCGUUUUUUCUGUUAUCUGGUUUCUUAAGAUUAAAUUUAAUUUUUUAUUAUUUAGUUUAAUUUAUUAUUAUUUUUUUUUUAUUUUAUAUUAAUAUUUUAUUAGGGAUUAUCUUAGUAUUUUUUAAUAAUUUUGAUUAUUAAUAAUUUUUUUAGGCUUAGAAUUAGUCUUAAUAUAUUUUCGUAAUUGUUUAUUUUAAUAUGUGUUUUAUUUAUUUAUAUUUUAUUUUUUAUUAAGAUUUUUAAUUAAAUUUUUGUUUAUUAAUAAAUGAUUAAAUUAGUAUAUUUAUUAUUAUUAAUAUAGUAAUUCGGCAAUUAAUUAUUUUCCACCUGUUUAUCAAAAACAUGGUUUUUAGUUUUUAUUAAAAAUUUAGUCUGCCCAAUGAUUAUUUAAUGGCCGCAGUAAUUUGACUGUGCGAAGGUAGCAUAAUAAUUAGUCUUUUAAUUGAAGUCUUGUAUGAAUGAUUGGAUGAGAAAGUAUCUUUCUUUAUUAUUUUGAUUGAAUUUGAUAUUUAAGUGAAAAAGCUUAGAUUUUUCUGUGGGACGAUAAGACCCUAUAGAUCUUUAAAAUUUUUAUUUUUUUAAUAUUUUUUGAAUUAUAUAUUUAUUAUGAAAUUAUUUAUUUUUUUGUUGGGGUGAUAAAUUAAUUAAUAUAACUUUAUUAUAUUUUUUCAUUAAUUUAUGUUUUUUUGAUCUUUUAUUAAUGAUUAUUAGAUUAAGUUACCUUAGGGAUAACAGCGUAAUUUAUUUGGAAAGUUCGUAUUAAUAAAUAAGUUUGCGACCUCGAUGUUGGAUUAAGAUUAGAAUAAGGGGUAGGUUUUUUAUUUCUAGGUCUGUUCGACCUUUAAAAUCUUACAUGAUCUGAGUUCAGACCGGCGUGAGCCAGGUUGGUUUCUAUCUUCAGAUUUAUUAUGACUAUUUUAGUACGAAAGGACCAGCAUAGUUAACUUAUUAGUUUAUGUUUGAUUAUUAAUAUUA